AUGAACGCUAGCGGCAGGCUUAAUACAUGCAAGUUGAGGGGCAGCAUGAUAUACGCGAGUAUAUUGAUGGCGACCGGCGGACGGGUGAGUAAUAGGUAGGAGACCUACCUCAUACGAGGGGGAUAGCAUAGAGAAAUCUGUGGUAAUACCCAUGAGGUUAUAUGAAUAGAGGCAUAUAAUCAAAGCAUAAGCGAUUAUGCGGUAUGAGAGGGGCCUACUGACCAUUAGCUAGUUGGUGAGGUAAGGGCUCACCAAGGCGAAGAUGGUUAGGGGUUUUGAGAGAGAGACCCCCCACAUUGGAACUGAGAGACGGUCCAGACUCCUACGGGAGGCAGCAGUAGGGAAUAUUGGGCAAUGGGCGAAAGCCUGACCCAGCCAUGCCGCGUGAAGGAAGACGGCCUUAUGGGUUGUAAACUGCUUUUCCAGGGAGAGAAACUUACGCACGUGUUGCGUGACUGACGGUACCCUGGGAAUAAGCAUCGGCUAACUCCGUG
Molecule: ribosomal RNA, 494 nt
Filed under: uncultured bacterium
Lineage: Bacteria
Description: bacterial SSU rRNA
Rfam family: Bacterial small subunit ribosomal RNA
Source: RNAcentral